GGGUUGUGAGGUUAAGCGACUAAGCGUACACGGUGGAUGCCCUGGCAGUCAGAGGCGAUGAAGGACGUGCUAAUCUGCGAUAAGCGUCGGUAAGGUGAUAUGAACCGUUAUAACCGGCGAUUUCCGAAUGGGGAAACCCAGUGUGUUUCGACACACUAUCAUUAACUGAAUCCAUAGGUUAAUGAGGCGAACCGGGGGAACUGAAACAUCUAAGUACCCCGAGGAAAAGAAAUCAACCGAGAUUCCCCCAGUAGCGGCGAGCGAACGGGGAGGAGCCCAGAGCCUGAAUCAGUGUGUGUGUUAGUGGAAGCGUCUGGAAAGGCGCGCGAUACAGGGUGACAGCCCCGUACACAAAAAUGCACAUGCUGUGAGCUCGAUGAGUAGGGCGGGACACGUGGUAUCCUGUCUGAAUAUGGGGGGACCAUCCUCCAAGGCUAAAUACUCCUGACUGACCGAUAGUGAACCAGUACCGUGAGGGAAAGGCGAAAAGAACCCCGGCGAGGGNAGUGAAAAAGAACCUGAAACCGUGUACGUACAAGCAGUGGGAGCACGCUUCGGCGUGUGACUGCGUACCUUUUGUAUAAUGGGUCAGCGACUUAUAUUCUGUAGCAAGGUUAACCGAAUAGGGGAGCCGAAGGGAAACCGAGUCUUAACUGGGCGUUAAGUUGCAGGGUAUAGACCCGAAACCCGGUGAUCUAGCCAUGGGCAGGUUGAAGGUUGGGUAACACUAACUGGAGGACCGAACCGACUAAUGUUGAAAAAUUAGCGGAUGACUUGUGGCUGGGGGUGAAAGGCCAAUCAAACCGGGAGAUAGCUGGUUCUCCCCGAAAGCUAUUUAGGUAGCGCCUCGUGAAUUCAUCUCCGGGGGUAGAGCACUGUUUCGGCAAGGGGGUCAUCCCGACUUACCAACCCGAUGCAAACUGCGAAUACCGGAGAAUGUUAUCACGGGAGACACACGGCGGUGCUAACGUCCGUCGUGAAGAGGGAAACAACCCAGACCGCCAGCUAAGGUCCCAAAGUCAUGGUUAAGUGGGAAACGAUGUGGGAAGGCCCAGACAGCCAGGAUGUUGGCUUAGAAGCAGCCAUCAUUUAAAGAAAGCGUAAUAGCUCACUGGUCGAGUCGGCCUGCGCGGAAGAUGUAACGGGGCUAAACCAUGCACCGAAGCUGCGGCAGCGACGCUUAUGCGUUGUUGGGUAGGGGAGCGUUCUGUAAGCCUGUGAAGGUGUGCUGUGAGGCAUGCUGGAGGUAUCAGAAGUGCGAAUGCUGACAUAAGUAACGAUAAAGCGGGUGAAAAGCCCGCUCGCCGGAAGACCAAGGGUUCCUGUCCAACGUUAAUCGGGGCAGGGUGAGUCGACCCCUAAGGCGAGGCCGAAAGGCGUAGUCGAUGG
RNAcentral lists this ribosomal RNA (1389 nucleotides) under Escherichia coli. RNAcentral describes it as "bacterial LSU rRNA". It matches the Rfam family "Bacterial large subunit ribosomal RNA", at positions 1 to 1421 of the family's 2925-position model. The record is from RNAcentral. Lineage: Bacteria; Pseudomonadati; Pseudomonadota; Gammaproteobacteria; Enterobacterales; Enterobacteriaceae.